ACAGAGUAUUGCGCAGUUUUUCAAUUUAAAAUAAAUAAACUUUAAUCCGAUAGUUUGAAAAGCAUAUCAACACAAUUUUAUUCGAAUGCAGGAAUACCCACAACUUGCGCGGCUGGCUGAAAAUAUUUUACAGCACUGCCAGUCGAUGAAAAAUAAGCCGAGUGAACGAUCGAGUCAAUUCAAAAAUAAAAACCUCAAAAUGGAAAUUCAAAGAGGCAACGGUAAAUCUAAGAAAUAUUCCUGGCUAUCGGUGCCAUCAUCAUUCUCCGUCUAUAAGAAGUCGGAGGCGAGUUGUCCAGAAAGCUGCAUUUGUCAUCGCAAGCGCGGAUUGAUUAUCUGCACUUGUUGCCAGAAAUCGUUUGUGGGCCGCAUCGGGGAGCGUUGUCUCGCGCAUCCAGAAAUUGCUUAUCUUAUGGAUGCACGCAAUUGCGCUUUCUGCGGAGCUGCUGCUAAAGAUUUGCGAAUGGCGGCGGAUCAAAUGUGAAACAAUAAAGAUAUGUAUAAGAAAAUUGUCGUUGACGACACUCAAUAUCAAAUACAAAUACCAAAGUAUAUGUAAACAAAUGAACAAUGAAAUCAAUAAAUAUAUUGAUACGAUUGUGUAUCUAAACACA
Long non-coding RNA from Drosophila montana, 614 nucleotides. RefSeq lists it as uncharacterized. The transcript has 2 exons. The record is from RefSeq and is a predicted model, not a curated record. Lineage: Eukaryota; Metazoa; Arthropoda; Insecta; Diptera; Drosophilidae.